RNAcentral lists this ribosomal RNA (465 nucleotides) under uncultured bacterium. RNAcentral's name for it is "partial 16S ribosomal RNA". It matches the Rfam family "Bacterial small subunit ribosomal RNA", at positions 338 to 795 of the family's 1533-position model. The record is from RNAcentral.
CCUACGGGCGGCAGCAGUAGGGAAUCUUCCACAAUGGGCGAAAGCCUGAUGGAGCAACGCCGCGUGGGUGAAGAAGGUCUUCGGAUCGUAAAACCCUGUUGUUAGAGAAGAAAGUGCGUGAGAGUAACUGUUCACGUUUCGACGGUAUCUAACCAGAAAGCCACGCCUAACUACGUGCCAGCAGCCGCGGUAAUCCGUAGGUGGCAAUCGUUAUCCGGAUUUUUUGGGCGUAAAGGGAACGCAGGCAGUCGUUUAAGUUUGGUGUAAAAGCCUUCGGUUUAAGGGGAGAAGUGCAGUGGAAACUGGGUGACUGGAGUGCAGAAGAGGAGAGUGGAACUCCAUGUGUAGCGGUGAAAUGCGUAGAUAUAUGGAAGAACACCAGUGGCGAAAGCGGCUCUCUGGUCUGUAACUGACGCUGAGGUUCGAAAGCGUGGGUAGCAAACAGGAUUAGAUACCCCGGUAGUC